Molecule: transfer RNA, 86 nt
Filed under: Hypoxylon rubiginosum
Lineage: Eukaryota; Fungi; Ascomycota; Sordariomycetes; Xylariales; Hypoxylaceae
Description: tRNA-Arg
Rfam family: tRNA
About the family: Transfer RNA (tRNA) molecules are approximately 80 nucleotides in length. Their secondary structure includes four short double-helical elements and three loops (D, anti-codon, and T loops).
Source: RNAcentral
GCCUACUUGGAGUAGUGGUUAACUCAUCGGCAUCCGACUCUAUAGUCAGAUAGCCGGGAACUCGGGUUCGAAUCCCGGAGUAGGUG